GUACUCGAGCGGCGAACGGGUGAGUAACACGUGAGUAACCUGCCCCUGACUCUGGGAUAAGCCUGGGAAACCGGGUCUAAUACCGGAUAUGACCGCCUCCGGCAUCGGAUGGUGGUGGAAAGUUUUUUCGGUUGGGGAUGGGCUCGCGGCCUAUCAGCUUGUUGGUGGGGUAGUGGCCUACCAAGGCGACGACGGGUAGCCGGCCUGAGAGGGCGACCGGCCACACUGGGACUGAGACACGGCCCAGACUCCUACGGGAGGCAGCAGUGGGGAAUAUUGCGCAAUGGGCGGAAGCCUGACGCAGCGACGCCGCGUGGGGGAUGACGGCCUUCGGGUUGUAAACCUCUUUCAGCAGGGACGAAGUUGACGUGUACCUGCAGAAGAAGCGCCGGCUAACUACGUGCCAGCAGCCGCGGUAAUACGUAGGGCGCAAGCGUUGUCCGGAAUUAUUGGGCGUAAAGAGCUCGUAGGUGGCUGGUCGCGUCUGCCGUGAAAGCCCGCAGCUUAACUGCGGGUCUGCGGUGGAUACGGGCCGGCUAGAGGUAGGUAGGGGCAAGUGGAAUUCCUGGUGUAGCGGUGAAAUGCGCAGAUAUCAGGAGGAACACCGGUGGCGAAGGCGGCUUGCUGGGCCUUACCUGACGCUGAG
This 646-nucleotide ribosomal RNA is filed under the name Nonomuraea sp. Its description in RNAcentral is "bacterial SSU rRNA". It matches the Rfam family "Bacterial small subunit ribosomal RNA", at positions 87 to 750 of the family's 1533-position model. The record is from RNAcentral. Lineage: Bacteria; Bacillati; Actinomycetota; Actinomycetes; Streptosporangiales; Streptosporangiaceae.